RNAcentral lists this ribosomal RNA (786 nucleotides) under uncultured bacterium. Its description in RNAcentral is "bacterial SSU rRNA". It matches the Rfam family "Bacterial small subunit ribosomal RNA", at positions 59 to 861 of the family's 1533-position model. The record is from RNAcentral.
CAGUCGACGAUGAAGUCCUAGCUUGCUAGGAUGGAUUAGUGGCGCACGGGUGCAGUAAUAUAUAGUUAAUCUGCCCUACACAGAGGAACAACAGUUGGAAACGACUGCUAAUACCUCAUACUCCUAUUUGGCAUAAGUUAAAUAGGGAAAGUCUUUUCGGUGUAGGAUGAGACUAUAUCGUAUCAGCUAGUUGGUAAGGUAAUGGCUUACCAAGGCUAUGACGCGUAACUGGUCUGAGAGGAUGAUCAGUCACAUUGGAACUGAGACACGGUCCAAACUCCUACGGGAGGCAGCAGUAAGGAAUAUUGCGCAAUGGGGGAAACCCUGACGCAGCAACGCCGCGUGGAGGAUGACACUUUUCGGAGCGUAAACUCCUUUUAUCAGGAAAGAAUAAUGACGGUACCUGAUGAAUAAGCACCGGCUAACUCCGUGCCAGCAGCCGCGGUAAUACGGGGGGUGCAAGCGUUACUCGGAAUCACUGGGCGUAAAGGACGCGUAGGCGGAUUAUCAAGUCUUUUGUGAAAUCUAGUGGCUUAACCACUAAACUGCUUAGGAAACUGAUAGUCUAGAGUAGGGGAGAGGUAGAUGGAAUUCUUGGUGUAGGGGUAAAAUCCGUAGAGAUUAAGAAGAAUACCCAUUGCGAAAGCGAUCUGCUGGAACCUAACUGACGCUGAGGCGUGAAAGCGUGGGUAGCAAACAGGAUUAGAUACCCUGGUAGUCCACGCCCUAAACGAUGUAUACUAGUUGUUGCUUUGCUAGUCAAGGCAGUAAUGCAGCUAACGCAUU